This is a small nuclear RNA of Rhinolophus ferrumequinum (greater horseshoe bat), 104 nucleotides long. NCBI's taxonomy places the organism in Eukaryota, Metazoa, Chordata, Mammalia, Chiroptera, Rhinolophidae. The record is from Ensembl.
GUGCUCACUUUGGCAGUACAUACCUUAAAACUGAAACAAUACAGAGAUUAGCAUGGCCCCUAUGCUAGGCUGACAUGCAAAUUUGUGAAGUGUUCCAUAUUUUU